Molecule: ribosomal RNA, 1478 nt
Filed under: uncultured Bordetella sp.
Lineage: Bacteria; Pseudomonadati; Pseudomonadota; Betaproteobacteria; Burkholderiales; Alcaligenaceae
Description: partial 16S-23S ribosomal RNA intergenic spacer
Rfam family: Bacterial small subunit ribosomal RNA
Source: RNAcentral
GGUUUGAUCAUGGCUCGGGGUGAACGCUGGCAGGAUGCUUUACACAUGCAGUCGAACGGCAGCACGGACUUCGGUCUGGUGGCGAGUGGCGAACGGGUGAGUAAUGUAUCCAGAACGUGCCUAGUAGCGGGGGAUAACUACGCGAAAGCGUAGCUAAUACCACAUACGCCCUUCGGGGAAAGCGGGGACCUUCGGGCUGCACUAUUAGAACGGCCGAUAUCAGGGUCUUGGUUGGUGGGGUAACGGCUCACCAAGGCGACGAUCCGUAGCUGGUUUGAGGAAGGACGACAGCCACACUGGAUGAGACACGGCCCAGACUCCUACGGGAGGCAGCAGUGAAAUUUUGGACAAUGGAAACCUGAUCCAGCCAUCCCGCGUGUGCGAUGAAGGCCUUCGGGUUGUAAAGCACUUUUGGCAGGAAAGAAACGGCACGGGAUAAUACCCCCGUGCAACUGACUGAUACCUGCAGAAUAAGCACCGGCUAACUACGUGCCAGCAGCCGCGGUAAUACGUAGGGUGCAAGCGUUAAUCGGAAUUACUGGGCGUAAAGCGUGCGCAGGCGGUUCCGGAAAAGAAAGAUGUGAAAUCCCAGAGCUUAACUUUGGAACUGCAUUUUUAACUACCUCGAGCUAGAGUGUGCUCAGAGGGAGGUGGAAUUCUGCGUGUAGCAGGAGAAUGCGUAGAUAUGCGGAGGAGCACCGAUGGUGAAGCAGCCUCCUGGGAUAACACUGACGCUCAUGCUGAAAAGCGUGGGGGCAAGCGGGAUUAGAUACCACUGGUGAUCCACUAACGAAAUGUCCAACUAGCUGUUACAGGGCCUUCCGGGCCUUGGUAGCGCAGCUAACGCGUGAGGAUUGACGCCUGGGAGGUACGGUCGCAAGAUUAAAACUCAAAGGAAUUGACGGGGACCCGCACAAGCGGUGGAUGAUGUGGAUUAAUUCGAUGCAACGCGAAAAACCUUACCUACCCUUGACAUGUCUGGAAUCCGAAGAGAUUUGGGAGUGCUCGCAAGAGAACCGGAACACAGGUGCACCAUGGCUGUCGUCAGCUCGUGUGUUGAGAUGUUGGGUUAAGUCCGCAACGAGCGCAACCCUUGUCAUUAGUUGCUACGAAAGGGCACUCCUAAUGAGACUGCGCAGUGACAAACCGGAGGAAGGUGGGGACAGCGUCAAGUCCUCAUGGCCCUUAUGGGUAGGGCUUCACCUCAUACAAUGGUCGGGACAGAGGGUCGCCAACCUUGCGAGAGGAGCCAAUCCCAGAAACCCGAUCGUAGUCCGGAUCGCAGUCUGCAACUCGACUGCGUGAAGUCGGAAUCGCUAGUAAUCGCGGAUCAGCAUGUCGCGGUGAAUACGUUCCCGGGUCUUGUACACACCGCCCGUCACACCAUGGGAGUGGGUUUUACCAAGUAGUUAGCCUAACCGUAAGGAGGGCGAUUACCACGGUAAGUUCAUGACUGGGGUGAAGUCGUAACAAGGUAG